Molecule: ribosomal RNA, 600 nt
Filed under: uncultured bacterium
Lineage: Bacteria
Description: bacterial SSU rRNA
Rfam family: Bacterial small subunit ribosomal RNA
Source: RNAcentral
ACGCGUUAAGCAUCCCGCCUGGGGAGUACGAGCGCAAGCUUAAAACUCAAAGGAAUUGACGGGGGACCCGCACAAGCGGUGGAUGAUGUGGUUUAAUUCGAUGCUACGCGAAGAACCUUACCCAGGCUUGACAUCCUGCGAACUCCGACGAAAGUCGGAGGUGCCUUCGGGAGCGCAGUGACAGGUGUUGCAUGGCCGUCGUCAGCUCGUGUCGUGAGAUGUUUGGUUAAGUCCAUUAACGAGCGCAACCCUUAUCGUCUGUUACAAUUUCAGGCGAGACUGCCCCGGCCAACGGGGAGGAAGGUGGGGAUGAGGUCAGGUCAGCAUGGCCCUUACGCCUGGGGCUACACACGUCAUACAAUGGCCGGUACAACGCGUUUGCCAACCCGCGAGGGGGAGCUAAUCGUAUCAAAACCGGUCCCAGUUCGGAUUGGAGGCUGCAACUCGCCUCCAUGAAGUUGGAAUCGCUAGUAAACGUGGGUCAGCAUACCACGUUGAAUACGUUCCCGGGUCUUGUACACACCGCCCGUCACACCACGAAAGUUGGGGGUACCCGAAGUGCUUAUUUUGAGCCCUAAGGUAAACUCAGCGAUUGGGGUG